RNAcentral lists this ribosomal RNA (253 nucleotides) under uncultured bacterium. RNAcentral's name for it is "partial 16S ribosomal RNA". It matches the Rfam family "Bacterial small subunit ribosomal RNA", at positions 524 to 776 of the family's 1533-position model. The record is from RNAcentral.
UACGUAGGGUGCAAGCGUUAAUCGGAAUUACUGGGCGUAAAGCGUGCGCAGGCGGUUUGGCAAGAAGGAUGUGAAAUCCCAGGGCUUAACCUUGGAACUGCAUUCUUAACUGCCAGGCUAGAGUAUGUCAGAGGGGGGUAGAAUUCCACGUGUAGCAGUGAAAUGCGUAGAGAUGUGGAGGAAUACCGAUGGCGAAGGCAGCCCCCUGGGAUAAUACUGACGCUCAUGCACGAAAGCGUGGGGAGCAAACAGG